ACUAAAUUGGCAGAAAAUUGCAUCAUAUUUAGAAUAUGAAUAUAGUAAUCUAUUUAGUA
Molecule: transfer RNA, 59 nt
Filed under: Songthela hangzhouensis
Lineage: Eukaryota; Metazoa; Arthropoda; Arachnida; Araneae; Liphistiidae
Description: tRNA-Leu
Source: RNAcentral